GACGAACGCUGGCGGCGUGCUUAACACAUGCAAGUCGAACGGAAAGGCCCUGCUUUUGUGGGGUGCUCGAGUGGCGAACGGGUGAGUAACACGUGAGUAACCUGCCCUUGACUUUGGGAUAACUUCAGGAAACUGGGGCUAAUACCGGAUAGGAGCUCCUGCUGCAUGGUGGGGGUUGGAAAGUUUCGGCGGUUGGGGAUGGACUCGCGGCUUAUCAGCUUGUUGGUGGGGUAGUGGCUUACCAAGGCUUUGACGGGUAGCCGGCCUGAGAGGGUGACCGGCCACAUGGGGACUGAGAUACGGACCAGACUCCUACGGGAAGCAGCAGUGGGGAAUAUUGCACAAUGGGCGGAAGCCGGAUGCAGCAACGCCGCGUGCGGGAUGACGGCCUUCGGGGUGUAAACCGCUUUCGCCUGUGACGAAGCGUGAGUGACGGUAAUGGGUAAAGAAGCACCGGCUAACUACGUG
Molecule: ribosomal RNA, 468 nt
Filed under: uncultured bacterium
Lineage: Bacteria
Description: partial 16S ribosomal RNA
Rfam family: Bacterial small subunit ribosomal RNA
Source: RNAcentral